This 11513-nucleotide long non-coding RNA is filed under the name Durio zibethinus. RNAcentral describes it as "long non-coding RNA (DZIB_LNC001229)". Lineage: Eukaryota; Viridiplantae; Streptophyta; Magnoliopsida; Malvales; Malvaceae. The record is from RNAcentral.
AAGCACGUCAACAACUAUUACCCCAGAGUGUUCCAAAUAACAUGUCAUCUGCUGGAGUUCAAAGUUCUACUGGUUUACAAUCUGGGAUGCCUUCUGUCUCUGGACCAACCCAGAAUUCUAUACCUGAUGUUGUUGGCCAGAAUUCCAACAUGCAAAACUUGUCUGAAAUUUCACAGAACUCACUGGGGCAAGGGAUAUCUUCCAAUAUUUUUACUAUUCAGCAGAGGCAAAUGCAAGGAAGGCAACGGGUGCUACUGCAACAGCAGCAGCAGCAGCAGCAGCAACUAUACCCUCAGCAGUUACAACAGCAACUUAUGAAGCAAAAGAUUCAACAAGGAAAUCUCCAGCCUUCACUUAUGCAGUUUCACAUGCCGCAACAGCAACAGCAAAACCUGUUACCACCUACUCAGUUGCAAUCUUGCUUGCAAUCUGGUAUGCAAACAUCAUCCGUUAUGCAGCCAUCUGCCAUGCAAUCAACUCCUCUUACUGGUCUUCAAAAGAAUCAACAAUCUUCUCUACAAGAGUCAAUACAGUCCAUGCUUCAACAGCAUCAACAGCCGCAAUCGGCCACCAGUGUUGGUAUUCUUCAACAACAAACAGCAAUGACACAGCAGUCAAUGAUGCCUCAGCAGCAGCAACAGCCUCCACAGCCACAGCAACAGCUGCAGCAGCCAAACAUAAUGGGACAACAGACAAAUGCUGCAAAUAUAAAGCAAAAUCAGUUAAUUGGACAACAAAAUAGCAUUGUGGACAUGCAGCAGCAGAGAUUGCUAGGCCAGCCUAAUAAUCUUCCAAACCUGCAGCGGCAGCAGCAGCAGCAUCAGUUAAUGGCUAAACAAAACCUCUCAAAUAUCCAUCAGCAACAGUUGGGUCCUCAAAGUAAUAUUUCAGGAUUACAGCAACAGCAGCAGCAGCAAUUGAUUGGAACCCAGUUGGGUAACUCAAGCAUGCAAACUAAUGAGCACAUGCUACCCCAGCCUAAGGUUUCACUCCAACAAACGCAGCAGAGUGCACCUAAUUUGUUACCAACUCAACGACAGACAUCCCAGCAGCCAGCAGCCAGCAGCAGCAGCAACAGCAACUGAUGUCACAGAUGCAAUUACAGUCUACUCAGCUGCAGCAACAAUUGGGUUUGCAAACAGCAGCCCAAUCAAUUACACCAAAAUAUGCAGCCAAGGCUUCACGCAUCAGGUCAACUAUCAUGUUCCUUGCUUCAAUCACAAAAUUUGAUAGAUCAGCAAAAGCAUUUGUAUCAAUCGCGCAGAGCUGUUCCAGAGACAUCAUCAAGUAUGUUUUUGAAUGUUUGCAGUUGCUUACUUUGUUCUUUCCUUGUUUCUUUCUGAUCUUGUGUUAUUUAACUAAUCUAUGCAAUUUUUUCCUCUGAUACUAGCACAUUUUAUCCUUGAAGCCUGAAAAAAAUCUAUUUUCUCAUAUAGCUACUAUAGUUGAUGCUAUUGUUUUUCAUUGCAUUUCUAUUACAGAAAAUAAUUUCCAUUCCAACUUGGGGGGAUUAAGAGAAUAUCUUUUUGAACUUGCACUACGUUGUCCUAUCAAAGCACAUUUUGCCUAGAUGAUUAGUUCUUAGCUAACAAAGACAAAUGCUACCAAAAUUAAUGGCACCCUUGCCUUCAUAAGCUGAUCAUGGGCACUGCCUGGCUUUUUAUGCCACCAGAAACAUUGUUGUUACUGUGGAAAACUCAGAAAUAAAACUGUGGAAAUCUAAGAGUAAAAACUGAAUGUUUAUUGAAAAAUUACACAUUAAGAAUUAUACAAGAACCUUAGUUUAUAUACAAUUAACUAGGGGUUCAACUGGGAAACUAAAUCUUCCUAAAAACUGAUCCUAUGAUUGAGGGAUUGUCUAUCAUUAUCCUUAAUUCUAGGGAUACAAAUACUUAAUUCUAGAGAUACAAAAAUUAAUAUACAGAUUACAAGAUUCCGUGUCACUGCUAAGUUUCCACUGCUGUCACUGUGCUAUUAUGUUACUUUUAACACUCACUCUAGUUAUUAUGCAAUGAUUUUGUCAAACCACAAAGCAAUGGCUGGAUUUAAUCUAUUCAUUUUAUCAACAAAUAAUUCAUGCUGUUUUAUUCAACGAGUUUUCAUGUUUGGCUAUAAAACAUUCUUCUGGAAAUAAGUAAACUGUGUUUUGUGUGCAAAGAGAAGUGACCAUUUUGUUGGUUAAGCUCAAAGAGCAGAAACAAAAUGCAUAAACUCACUCAUACCCCUCAUAUUCAUUUGAAUUUUAGAAUAGUCAGAUAUUUCUAGCAGCUUGUUUGAUUAUGUCGGGUUGGUGUGAUUCCUUUGUCCGACUUAAAUAUUGUUGUUCUUUCUUGUAAUCUAGCUUUCAAAAAUGUUCCCACCACUUAAUUUAACAAAAAAUUAUGAUUAGGAGAUUGCAGUCCUGAUUGAGAACAGCUAGUUACUGUUUUUGCAUCAAAAUAGAGGGUAAACAUGCUUGCAAAUGUCAGAGGAGUUUUGUUUGAAUGAAGAAUGCAUAACGAAUGACUAGAUAAGCAAGAGGGUGACAGCGAGCUGGUUCAUGCAUGCAUGAAAUGGUUAAAAGGGUGUCAAAACUCAAAAUUGUCUUAGUAGUGUUUUGAUUUAGUCUAACGGCUUUUAUUGAAACAUUAAAUUUGUGCUGUAGAAAUAAUUAAGUUCUAUAUGAACCCUAUAUUCCUUGAGUCUAAUUUGUUCCCUAAAUUUUUUUAGUACUUGAGUUUGACUCGCCCUUAUUUGCUUGACAUAUUUAUUUUUAAUGAAUAACAAGUCUGUAGCAGAAAAUAGUUUAACUUUUUUUAGGUUUUCCUUCUCAUGAACACUUAAACUUAUCUAUCAUUUACUCCUGUUCCAACUGAACUUCUUUUUUGUAGAUGGCAAAUGUAUAGUUAGCUUUUAACUUGAGAAACUCUAUAAGUAGCCUUGAAAAAUAAGAAAGAUGUUUGAACUUGGAAUUUGUCUCUCUGUGUCACUAUGGAAAGUCAAAAUUAAAAAAUUUUCUACUUUUGUAAGCGUACAUCUUAGAAUAUCCCAAAAGUAAAAGGCAGUGAAAACGGGGUGUAGGGAGCAUGUUUUUAAUGAGUAACCUCUAAAAUUUGGAUACGCAUGGUUAGUUGCAGAAACUAGCAAUAAAAUUUUCUCAUAUGUCAAUGUCCAAAAUGUUUAAUGGUUUCUUCAAAUGCCUUUCAGUUGUAACCCGUGGUGGGUCUGAUGGAAUUUUGGGACAUAGGAAUUGAUUAUUGGUUGCAUUAUGAACCCUGUCGAUAUCCCGAUCAAUGCUAUGUGUACUUUAAUUUGCUUUCAGAGUUGGUUGUUUUCUGCUCAUAAUUUACCCGUCUUCCAUAAAUUAUCUAUUUCAAUGUUCUGUUACAUAUGCAACAAAAUAAUGUACCUUCACGCGUAUGGAACAAUUUUCUUUCAUUUAAAUUAUGUUUUCCUUGCGUAUUCUUCUUCCUUCAUAAAUUUCCAUUUUUCUUAUGUGUGUAGAAUUUAUUUAUCCUUUUCUUUUAGCAUCUUUAGAUUCCACAGCUCAAUCAGGACAUGCAAAUGGGGGUGAUUGGCAAGAAGAGGUCUAUCAGAAGGUAAAAACUAUCUUGACUUAUUCUCCUAUAGAUAUUAUUACAGUUUCAACUUGGUUUUAAGAAGGUUUUAGGUGUAGGAAAGUGGUUCUGAAAAAGAAUAUUAGAGUAUGUUGGGAUGCAUCUCAUAGCAGGAACCAUAAAACUGAAGAAGUAGGAACUUAAAACAAAUUUGGUAAAAGAAAUUCAGACAUUUUCUGAAUUACUUAUUACUUUGUUAAUAAGAACUUGAAUUCUUUUGGCUUGUUCUUAGAAGAAAGAAAAUAAAGUUUAUUUAAAUCCUUCAGCUCUCUACUAAAGAUCCAUUAAAAUUGGUGAGCAAGAAACCUAAGACCAAGGGUAUCUUGCAUACUUGCCUUCAAAGUAAUCAUCAUUUAUCGACACCUUUGUUUCUUCUGUUAUUGACUAAUAUCAGUGCCUGCUAGUCGGAAAAUGGAAAAAUCUUGUUACUUUUCUAAUAAAUCAUGACACUGGGAUAAAUUGAGUGGUUUAAUUGUUGGUUAAGCAUUCUGUUCCUGAUUUUAUGUUGCAGAUCAAGGCCAUGAAAGAGACAUACUUACCUGAAUUAAAUGAGAUGUACCAGAAAAUUGCUGCCAAGUUGCGGCAGGUAUGUUUAUUCUUUUACAUAAUCAUAUAUAUUCAUUCCCUAACCUCCAAGGAGUGAUAGAACCCAUCUGCCCCGUAGUCUGCCACCCUGUGUCUCUAAAUAGAAUUUAGAGAGGACUUUACUGUUCCACAUUAGAAAGCUGUUGAACCCAUACCACUUUUGGGUUGCUACUCGAAUCCCCUUACCAUAGACACUGUUUAGUGGUUGCACUUAUGCAUAUUUGUUGUAAUAGUUGUUUGUAGUUUUACUGGCAUCAGUUAAAACAAUUUUAUGUGUACCAUUUUCCAGCAUGAUUCUCUUCCACAGCAGCCAAAGUCAGAGCAGCUUGAAAAGUUGAAAAUGUUCAAGAUCAUGUUGGAGCACGUUAUAUCUUUCUUAUCAGUUCCCAAAGCCAGUAUCGCACCCACUUUCAAGGAUAAGUUGAGUUUGUAUGAGAAGCAGAUAGUAAAUAUUUUAAAUACCAAUAGGCCAAGGAAGGCAGUCUCAGCACUGCAGCAAGGACAGCUUCUUCCACCUGAUAUGCAUUCCAUGCCGCAGCCACAACCUCAAAUUAAUCAGACACAGUCUCAUGAUAAUCAAAUGAUCCCUCAGUUGCAGUCAACGAAUUUACAAGGUUUUGUUCCAACAAUGCAGCCGAACAACAUGACAAGUUUGCAGCAUAAUUCUGUGUCUUCCUUACCUGGGGUUGCAACAGCGCAGCAGACCAUGUUAAAUUCGCUGCACCCCAGUUCCAAUUUGGAUGCGGGACAAGGUAAUGCCCUAGGCUCAAUGCAGCAGGCUGCUGCAGGACCUUUACAACAGAAUCCUGUGAGUACCUCCCAACAGGCAAAUAUUAACAGUUUAUCUUCACAAAGUGGGUUAAGUGUCCUGUUGCAAAACACGAAUCCUUUUCAGUCAAAUUCCAACAUGCUUCAGCACCAGCAUAUGAAACAACAGCAGGAACAGCAAAUGCUGCAGUCACAAAUGUACAAACAACAGUUUCAACUGCUUCAGAUGCAGCGGAAGCUGCGGCUACUGCAACAGCUACAGCAACAGCAACAAAAGCAGCUGCAUGAAAUGGAUGAUAUAAAUGACGUGAACAUGAGACAGGGAAUCGGUGUUAAUCCUGGGGUUCUUCAAGCAAAUCUCUCAACUGACCAACUUCCAGGUUAUUCAUAUGAGCAUUCAAAACCUAGUGUCCAAUUUCAUACAUCUUCCACCCCCCGCUCUUUCAGGCUCCAUUUGUCCGCACCUACUUCAAUCCCCCGUUGGAGUCCAUAUCCCUCGCCUGAGAACACUGAGAAAUCUAUCUAUGGCGCUUCCUCUCUGUCAAAUAACAAAAAUAUUAGUCAGCAGCAAGGAAAGAUCUGAAUUCCCUGCACUGACACACUUGGUAAUGGUAAUGGUCAACAUCACCUUUGCUUACUGUGUUCGAAAAUGCUAAUGAUGCUCACAGUAUUGCUUUAACAACUGAUUUUGGCAAGUCGAAGGUUACAGAACUGCCACAUGAUCCCCAGAGUUACCAUGGUUAGUGAAGCUUAAUUAAUUUUCAUUGUUCACAUUAUCUUUUUCAAUUUGCUCCUUUGGCUUGAUAUGUUGUUCAUGUAGUGAAAGAGUGGAAAAAAACCUUGAAAUCCUUCCUUUUUUUUUUUCCUUCUAUUUGACUUUAAUCUUCUAAUAUAGUUUGUUUUAGCUUUUGAAAUGAUGUUGGUUCUAUUACUAUUUUAUAAAGUUUCAGGCAAAACCCAUGUCACUUAAAUCAUUGGAGGCAUCCGUUGUGACCAUGGUUGAUGAGGCAAGCCUCUGCAAGUUGGUGUGGAUGUGGCCGCCACGAGCAAGGGUGGUUUGCGUCGAAGAAGUUUCUUUCCACAAAGUGGAAUGACUGGAGCCGAGAAAAUGAGAUUCUACAUGAGUGCACUGUCUAUGUUAGCUCUAAUGUUUUGGUUCGUUAUAAUAACAUCUGCAUGAGCAGUAGCAAACAAAUUUCCAAAGCUUUUUAUGCUUGGGUAAAAGAGGAAAGGCCCAUUGGUUAUAGCAUGGAUUUCUCUUGUAAGGAGUCAAGAUGAUACUAUUACGACAAAUUGUUGGCAGGUGUUUGCUUAUUUAAAGGUUUUUGAACUUGUUUACAUUCCUAUGAAAUAUAUUAGGAGAUGCAUGCAUCAAAGUUCAUGCCGUUUAAGCCUCAGUGCAUGCCGUUUCUGACCAAUCUAGCCAUGUAAUAACACUAGUUAUCUUACUAAACACAUAAUUUGACCCUAGCUUUUUUUAUCGAGUGACAAGGGUGUUUAGGGUUUUAUGUUUGGGUCGAUCUAAGGUUAUCCAAUACCUUUAGGUGAAGAGCCAUCUAGAUUAGAAAUACCUAGAUGUAAUAAGAGAUAAUGAUCACUUUUAUUUUUCAAUAGGAAAGAGAGAAAAAGAAGGUGAAGUUGGUAUUGAUUUGACGAAAUGUCACAUUUGUAGUCAAAUUUGCUAAAUAUUCAUUGAUGGAAGUGGACCCUUGCAUGUGCUGCCUACACAAAUGGUCCCUUUUUAUUGUUUAAGAUUCUUAAUCACUAAAGGAUUUUUCUUUUCUUUUCUUUUUUUUUUUUAAUAAUAUCAUUAUGACUAUGCUUAGAUUUUGUGGAAAUUUAAUUUUUUAGAUAAUUUUAAGAAUAUAUUUUUUCAUAUAAAUCUCAUGUAUAUACUUUUUUUUAUUUCAAAAUGUCAUUUAUUAAUUUUUAACAAAAUUUAAGAAAAAUUUUAGAUUUUAGUGUGUUUAAUUUUAAAAUUUAAAAUUUUUUUAUAAAUUAAAGUUUUAUGACUUUUAAUGUCAAAAAGUUAAAAAAAUCAUAAAAUUUAAUUUUAAAAUAUAAAAAUAAAAAUUUUAAAUGUUAAAAAAAUCCAACAUAAUUUGAGACAUUUCAAAAAGGAAAGAUUGAAAAAAAAUAGGACAAAAGGAAUAUGAUUUUAUUUUUAUAUAUUUUUCAUAAAAAUAGAAUCCUAAUUAAUACGAAUAAAAAUGUAAAAAAAAAAAAAAAAAACAACCAUAGAAAUCCGAACUUGGAAGGAAAAAAAAAAAAGAUUAAGUGGGCAACUUCAACAUGCAAGGUUCGCACUAGUAAAUUCCACAUGUUACCAUGUAAUUGUAACCUAACCAUUUUCACUAAAAGUACUACAAUAUUUUGAUUUUAAGUGAUUACUUUUGAUUAAAUGUGUAAAUAAUACAUUAAUAUUUUUAAGUUAUUCGAGUUCGAUUCGAAUAAAAUUUGAAUUCGGUUCAAUUAUUAUGUAGUCGAGUUCGAGCUCGAUUAGUUCGAUUCAUCGAUCGAAUCGAGUUCGAGUAUUUUUAUACUUAGCUCGAGUAACUCGCGAGUUUAAUCGAAUUUUUAUAUUUAAAUUUUAUUUAUUAUUUUAAUUAAUAAAAUAUCUCGAAUUCGAGUUCGAACUCGAGCAUAAAUAAUUGAGCUCUUAUCGAGUAUAAGAAUCAAGCUUAUUUUUAUAUAUUUUCGAGCUUAAUCGAACGAGUUCGAGUAAUUUAAAUUCGAUCACAAAUCGAAUUCAAGAUAAAAAAAUGAAUCUUGAUCGAAUUCGAACUGAAUAUCGAGUCACGAGUUGAAAAUCAAGCUAUAAUUUAAAUUUUUUAUUGUAUCGAUUUGACUCUUACUUUUAACAAUGAAUUUACGUGAUUGAACGAGGAUAAAUUUUACUUUUAGAUCUUUUGCUUCUUGUAAGCUUGGGACUUGUUUUCUCAUUUGAGUGCUACAGUAUAUGAAUUGAUGGUUCUCUUUUCUUCUUACUAACUGAAUUAUACCCAUUCAUUAAAUAACUUAUAGCUGUAACGGACACUAGUGGUCUUGCUUUUCUAUAUCAUUUUAUGAACGAUGGUAAUUUUGGUAUGUGGUCUAUUUGAAUGUAGCUGAUAUAUGAAGGUCAUGAUGGCCACUUUGUUUAUUUGGGAGAACUUUGUUAAAUUCCAAUGCCAUGGCUUCUAGAUAUUUGAAUGAGACAGUCCUGAACAAGUUAAUGAGGAAAAUCUUUUGGUGGUCAGAUUAUAUCCUGGUUAAUUUUCAUUUGAUUUUAUGUUAACUUCACAAUUUGGUCAUGGCAUUGUUUUAUUAACCAUGGAAGAUUCUUAUAUAUAUCCGUUUGGUUUGUCGAUAACUUACACAAUGCCUUGUGUGCAUAGAAUGGACACAUUGAAGAGGCACCUUCCAUUUUCUGGCCAAGAGGGUUUAAAUGAACUCAGGAAAAUCGCAGUAAGGUUCGAGGAAAAGAUUUUUACAGCAGCAAACAGCCAGGUAAUCAUAGAAUAUUGGCAUUCCUUAACCUGCUUGGAUGCAUUGUUGUUUACCUAUAUUUUGUUUGUUUGCGUUGUGUGUGUGUAUCUUUGUGUUUCUUUUUUUUCUUAUUCAUAUGUAUAGACAUGCAUAUGUCACGGAUCGAGACUUAAGCUCCGAACCCGCGCGGCUCUGGAACCUGGGCAUUCACCCUUUCGGCAUCCCAGAUCAGCCUUCCUGCCACGGUUCACACCCUUGUGAGGUAUUGUCCGCUCUGACCCCCUGACCUCACGGUUUUGUCCUACAAAAGGCGCUUCACAAGGCGGAGAUGGUGUGAACCCUUUUAUACUCCAGGGACCUUUCUAUUAUGUUCGAUGUGGGAUUCAGGACUCCCUCUUAGGUCCGUGACAUUUUCUCGUACCCAACCUCGUGACGCCCUCGUCACGGAGGCCGGCCACCCUGCCUACCUCCCUCGAGGUGCUUGGCGUGGAUCGAAAGGUUUAGGGCUGGCUCUGAUACCACUUGUCACAGGUCGAGACUUAAGCUCCGAACCCGUGCGGCUCCGGGACCCGGGCAUUCACCCUUCUGGCGUCCCAGAUCAGCCUUCCUGCCACGGUUCACACCCUUUUGAGGUAUUGUUUGUCACGGACCUAAGGAAGAGUCCUAAAUCCCACAUCGAACAUAAUAGGAGGGUCUCUGGGGUAUAAAAAAGUUCACACCACCUCUGCCUUGUGAGUCGCCUUUUGUAGGACAAAACCGUGAGGCCAAGGAGGCCAGAGCGGACAAUACCUCACAAGGGUGUGAACCGUGGCGGUCAGGCUGAUUCGGGAUGUCGGAAGGGUGAAUGCCCGAGUCUCGGAGCCGCGCGGGUUCGGAGCUUAAGUCUCGACCCGUGACAAGUGAUAUCAGAGCCAGCCCUAAACCGUUUGAUCCACGCCGAGCACCUCGAGGGAGGUAGGCAGGGUGGCCGACUUCCGUGAUGAGGGCGUCACGAGGUUGGGUGCGAGAGAAUGUCAUGGACCUAAGGAAGAGUCCUGAAUCUCACAUCGAACAUAAUAGGAGGGUCCCUGGGGUAUAAAAGGGUUCACACCACCUCCGCCUUGUGAGGCACCUUUUGUAGGACAAAACUGUGAGGUCAGGGGGGCCAGAGCGAACAAUACCUCAUAAGGGUGUGAACCGUGGCAGAUAGGCUGAUCCGAGACGCCGGAAGGGUGAAUGCCCAGGUCCCGGAGCCGCGCGGGUUCGGAGCUUAAGUCUCGACCCGUGACACCAACUGUCACGGGCUCCGACCUUAGACUCAGAAUCCGUGCGGCCUUAGGCUUGGAAUCUCCUCCUUUAUGCCUAAAUCAGCCUAAAACACAAGCGUGCGGGCACUAAAACAAUGGGAAUGGCUGAUUACGCAAGUUAAAGAAAAACAGGACAAAAAGACAGAAUUCUGGAAAUGCUCUUGUAUUCAUUGGUGUGAACCCUUUUAUACCCUAGUGACCUUCCUAUUAUGUUCGAUGUAAGAUUCAGGACUCUCUCUUAGGUCCGUGACAUUCUCCCGCACCCAACCUCGUGACGCCCUCGUCACGGAGGCUGGCCACCCUGCCUACCUCCCUCGAGGUGCUUGGCGUGGAUCGAACGGUUUAGGUCCGUGACAUUCUCCCGCACCCAACCUCGUGACGCCCUCGUCACGAAGGCUGGCCACCCUGUCUACCUCCCUCGAGGUGCUUGGCGUGGAUCGAACGGUUUAGGGCUGGUUCUGAUACCACUUGUCACGGGUCGAGACUCAAGCUCCGGGACCCAGGCAUUCACCCUUCCGGCGUCCCGGAUCAACCUUCCGUCACGGUUCACACCCUUGUGAGGUGUUGUCGGCUCCGGCCCCCCUGACCUCACGGUUUUGUCCUACAAAAGGCGCCUCACAAUGCGAAGAUGGUGUGAACCCUUUUAUACCCCAGUGACCUUCCUAUUAUGUUCGAUGUGGGAUUCAAGACUCCCUCUUAGGUCCGUGACACAUACACCUAGACUCCUUGUCAAUUACAUUAGAAGUAAAUAAGAAAGAAAUCCAGGGAGGAAAGAGAGCAGAGGUAGGAAAAAACAAAGAUGCUAAAUGCUAACUCAUUAUUAAGCAUGGUUAAUAUAACAUAUUUGAUAAUCUUGUCUUGUAUUUGAAUAAUGAAGUAAAGGCUGUUUACUCUAAUGCCGAAUGGAUUGCUAUAUUCAGUCGGAUUAUCUGAGGAGAAUAUCCUUGAAGAUGCUUACUAUGGAGAACAAGUCUCAGAAUACUAUGCCCAACUCUGGGAAUAACAGCAAGCCCCCUGAUCCAGGUAAUAGCAGGAAACAGCAUUUUGCUUUGAUGUAUUCUACAAGUAGGACAUUUUCCGUUUACAUGUCCUUUCUGUUCUUUAACAUGCAGAGUUGUUUAACUUGCAACAUUUAUGCACAUAUUAUUUCUGCAGCUAUUUGAAUGAAAAUUACCUAUAUUUUAACUCUUUUGUCCCCUUAACAAAGCGUGGUUGUUUUGGUGGGUUGGAGUUGUUUAAGGAUUGUUUUGAUGAGCACCCAAACAGAAAGGCCUAUUUGUUGUUCCCAUGAUUGUAGUCUUUCUGCGUGGGAUGCACCUCUUCAUGUGCUAGGCCUAGGAAUAAUUUUAUUAUUUUUUCAUGAUCCUCAUGGUAUGAUUCAAUUGCCCUCACAUGUUUUAAGUCUAGUUAUCUUUUUGAAUGAAUUACUGCUUCAGUAUUUUUGUUGUUUAUCUUGUUCUAAAUGUUCUUCAAUUCAGUUCUUGUGGGUUCUUCCCAACUUUUCUUUCUGAAUAUAAAAAUCUUGGGUAGGUUCUCAGGGCAUGCAAAACCAAGUUUACAGUCAAGGGCUAUCAAUUCCUAUCCAAUACAAAGUAAUCAGUCUCAAGCACGUCAACAACUGUUACCCCAGUGUGUUCCAAAUAACAUGUCAUCUGCUGGAGUUCAAAGUUCUACUGGUUUACAAUCUGGGAUGGCUUCUGUCUCUGAACCAACCCAGAAUUCUAUACCUAAUGUUGUUGGCCAGAAUUCCAACAUGCAAAACUUGUCUGAAAUUUCACAGAACUCACUGGGGCAAGGGAAAUCUUCCAAU